RNAcentral lists this ribosomal RNA (459 nucleotides) under uncultured bacterium. RNAcentral's name for it is "bacterial SSU rRNA". It matches the Rfam family "Bacterial small subunit ribosomal RNA", at positions 410 to 863 of the family's 1533-position model. The record is from RNAcentral.
AAAGGCCCUUCGGGUUGUAAACCCCUUUUGUUAGGGAAGCAAAUCUUCCUGGUUAAUACCUGGUGGGGAUGAGAGUACCAAAAGAAUAAGCACCGGCUAACUACGUGCCAGCAGCCGCGGUAAUACGUAGGGUGCAAGCGUUAAUCGGAAUUACUGGGCGUAAAGCGUGCGCAGGUGGUUUGACAAGACCGACGUGAAAGCCCCGGGCUCAACCUGGGAAUUGCGUUGGUGACUGUCUGACUAGAGUGUGGCAGAGGGGGGUGGAAUUCCGCGUGUAGCAGUGGAAUGCGUAGAGAUGCGGAGGAACACCGAUGGCGAAGGCAGCCCCCUGGGCUAACACUGACACUCAUGCCCGAAAGCGUGGGGAGCAAACAGGAUUAGAUACCCUGGUAGUCCACUCCCUAAACGAUGUCCACUGGUUGUUGGGAUUUCGUCCUUAUAACGAAGUAAACGCAAUAA